AUGCAGAUGGUUUCUUGUGGUCGCACUGCCAUUAACAUCAACGGCAAGAUCGGCCCCUACUUUCCCACUCUUUGUGGGGUGAGACGGGGCGACCCUUUCUCCCCGUUCCUGUUCAAUAUGGUGGUGGACGCACUGGCUGCCAUCCUGGACAGGGCGAAGGCGGCCGGCCAUAUUCGGGGUCUCGUGCCCCACUUGGCCAAUGGCGCAGGCAUCUCCCUGCUCCAAUAUGCGGACGACACCAUCAUCAUGGUCGAAGGGUCGACCGCAGACAUCGCUAACCUCAAGUUCCUCCUCCUCUGCUUCCAACAGAUGUCUGGCCUCAAGAUCAACUUCGACAAGAGUGAUGUGACGGUGAUGGGAUACUCUCCGGUUGAGGCCCGGGACAUUGCCAACCGCCUGAACUGCCGCCUUGGGUCCCUUCCCACCACCUACCUGGGAACACCCAUUAGUGACUCUCGCCUUACUGUUGCUGACCUGCGUCCGACUGUCGCCAAAUUGCAGACGUGCAUUGAACCUUGGCAGGGUCGGUGGUUGUCUAAGGCGGCUCGGACGAUUCUCAUCAACUCUUCGCUCUCUAGUCUCCUCUUGUUCCUCAUGAGCUUCUAA
This 606-nucleotide ribosomal RNA is filed under the name Triticum aestivum (bread wheat). Its description in RNAcentral is "partial small subunit ribosomal RNA". Lineage: Eukaryota; Viridiplantae; Streptophyta; Magnoliopsida; Poales; Poaceae. The record is from RNAcentral.